GAUCCUGGCUCAGGAUGAACGCUAGCGAUAGGCUUAACACAUGCAAGUCGAGGGGCAGCACGGUGUAGCAAUACACUGGUGGCGACCGGCGUACGGGUGCGUAACACGUAUGCAACCUACCCGCUAGUUGGGGGAUAACCCGGCGAAAGUCGGACUAAUACCCCAUAUUAUUCUUACCGGGCAUCCGGUAGGUCUGAAAGAUUUAUCGAUUGCGGAUGGGCAUGCGGAUGAUUAGCUAGUAGGUGGGGUAACGGCUCACCUAGGCGACGAUCAUUAGGGGUUCUGAGAGGAAGGUCCCCCACACUGGAACUGAGACACGGUCCAGACUCCUACGGGAGGCAGCAGUGAGGAAUAUUGGUCAAUGGGCGCUAGCCUGAACCAGCCAAGUCGCGUGAAGGAUGAACCAGAUCUAUGGUUUGUAAACUUCUUUUGCAGGGGAGUAAAGUGCGACACGUGUGUUGUAUUGCAAGUACCCUGCGAAUAAGCAUCGGCUAACUCCGUGCCAGCCGCCGC
This 513-nucleotide ribosomal RNA is filed under the name uncultured bacterium. RNAcentral describes it as "bacterial SSU rRNA". It matches the Rfam family "Bacterial small subunit ribosomal RNA", at positions 15 to 518 of the family's 1533-position model. The record is from RNAcentral.